AUGUAUGUCUUUUCAAAAGAAAUCUAUGACAUUUUGAAAGAAAACUAUGACAUUUUUUUACUAAGAUGCAAUCAGGGACACAACUUACCCUGGCCCUUUAGGACCUUCUUGCAAACUAUGGGGGACUCUCUGAUACAGAGCAAAGAGGAUAGUUGCUGGGAUGUGAUGAAGGCUGUGAAAGGAAAAAAUAAAUUAACAUCCAGUGGGCUUCUCCUCCUACUGUGCAUACAGGAAGUCUUAAGGAGACCACAGGACACUAUCAGUACUGCCUCCCAACACAUUCUGGAUCCCAAGAACCCUUCCUAUUCCUCUACAGCCUCUAAUAACUUCACUUAAAAUAAAACUCCUAGUUUGGUGUUUCUUGUGUGAAAU
This 372-nucleotide long non-coding RNA is filed under the name Parus major (Great Tit). RNAcentral's name for it is "lncRNA (ENSPMJG00000013647.1)". The record is from RNAcentral. Lineage: Eukaryota; Metazoa; Chordata; Aves; Passeriformes; Paridae.